Strigops habroptila (Kakapo) is the source of this 3390-nucleotide long non-coding RNA. Lineage: Eukaryota; Metazoa; Chordata; Aves; Psittaciformes; Psittacidae. The record is from Ensembl.
CAAGGUGAACAGACCAUAACUUUAUUGGAGAUAUACUCAGCUACAAUUCUUACAAAAAACUAUUAAAGGUAAUUGUGAUCCAUAAGGUGCAGAUUGCAAACUUCUGCAGCAUGAUUACAGUAUGAAUGAAUUACAUUUUAUGUCCCUUAAAGACAGCUGCAGCAUGUGAUGGUAAGUAUUUUAUUGUCCAUCAAAUUAUAUGUUAUUCAUUCUACUUGAUUUUAACCAUCUUCUCAGUCAAACUAUUUACAAUAAAAAUGCCUGCAAUUUCCAAUUCUUGUUUACAAACAUUUUUUCUCUCCAACUUGCUGCUGCAGUAAAUUCUGAGUGCAUCUACAAAGCAAUCAAAGUAGUCUGUGGUUGCCAUUCAAAUAAGAGGAAAAAAACCCAAGGGCUUUAUUGGAUAAAAUUUAUUUCUUAAAAAUGUAGUCAGCUUUGACAGAAGUUAAUUUUAACUGCUAGUGGAGUAUACUACGACCUCUAGAUAUUUGCUAACAGAACUGAGAUGGAGUUGCAGUUGAUAUUUAGAUUACAUUUCAUGGUCACGAACUGUAGUGUUUUAAGUUUUAAACCCAAUAUGAACGUAAAGAAAUUAACUUCUUGAAAAUUAGAGCAAUUGGAAAAGGACCAAUGUCAGUAAGUACCAAAAAUUAAAACCCUUCUUGCUUCACUCAUGUAAUAAAUACAGAUAUUUCCAUGAGACUGUUUUUGUAGAGAUCCCCACUCAAAACAUACAAACCCAGAAUACUGUCACAGAGAGGCAAGUGCAGUAUCACAGCAGACCAUAAUGCUACUCCUCAUUUUCAGAUUACGUGUGCUGCUGUGACUGGGAUACAAAGAUUUCACCUUCUAUACAGAUGAAUGCAUGUAGCGUAGCUAUGUCAUAUGCAGUAACAUAAAAACCCAUCAUUUCCAGUUUAUGGUUCUCUAUUUCCUUACAAGGAGAAAAACCCAAAUUCUGCAACAUACAUACAAACACAAGAUCUUCAGAUAUGUAAAAGAAUGCAGUUCCAUUGAUUAAAAUGAUACCACAUCAAUUUGCACUAGCUGAGGAUCUGGCACCUUAUCCCUGGGCCACCACUAUAUUCCUCCCCAGCAUGGAAACUGGUUCUUGUUCAAGUUCUGUACUCUGCAGUCACAACAUAAUAUUGUGUAAUGAGACUUAAAGAUAGUAGGCUUUUUUUCUGUAUGGACUUUAGCAGCAUCAAGCUGAACAAACACUUCAGAAGUCGCUACUGGGCACUCAAUAUUCAGACUGAGCAGAGAUUUAGUUCAGGCUGACCAAAUUACUACGGGCUGUCUACUCGCAAAAACUACAUUAUAUUCAUAAUAUGUUGGUUUGUUCAGAGAUAAUUACUGGAGUGUCAGAGGUCAUUCUAAUUUUAAUUACUUCACAUAACAGUAAAAUGAUGUAGUAGAAAGACAAUAGCUUUAAAAUACAAUCAAGAGUUGUUACACAUCUUUGUUGUAUUUUUUCCACAUACAGUAAAAAUGCCACAGACAUUACAAAUGACCUAUCUCAGUUGUGCAAGUAAAUGACACAUUGCAGGCAUUAUAAUUAUCUUUUUCAAAUUCAGUAAAUCACAACAGCAGCAAGGCCAAACCACAUUUUUCCUCUCUGUUAAGCAUUUUUUCCUUGAAAUGAGGUAAAGCAUGGUACCAAGUGCAAUGCUUAUUUGUGCUACAUGAACAGAACAGCGCAAAAAAAAAAAAAAGCCAUAAAAAUAAAAACGCAGCAUAGUUAGGAGGACUGUUUAAAGUACAGUAUAACAGGACUUAGAUUAAAAAAAAAAAACAAAACAAACCAAACAAGGUUCAUGCCAACUAACCCCCACACUAUUAUGACAAGCCUGUGUGGUUGCUUUUGAAGAUGGGUUACAACAGUCCACUUACACUUGUGCUUACAGCAUGUCAAGUGAUUUCUAUCCCAACCUUCAAAUGAUCAGAUUUAGGUCUUUAAUAGCAUACAAUGUCCAAUAUCAAAAUCAUAUCAACUGUAGGGUAAAACACACAGAUGUAUAACAUGGAAACUAAUAUGAAUUUUCUAUCUCAAGGAUAAAAAAUAUUUCAAUGAGGUCACACUGGAAAAAAUUACGGCAUUUAAAACGCAUUUAAAAACGCAUCAGCAGCAGAAACUACUUUAUAGUCAGCCACUACACAUUUCAGAUUUCCAAUUCAUAGGCUUUACCUAGUAACAAAGCGAUCAUUAAACUAUUCUGAAACACAGAACAAGUUCAGUUAAUUUUCUUUGCAUCAAAACACUCUGUAGCACUUUACUGCUAGCAAUUACCUGAAACCCCUGAGAAUCUAUAACCUUGUAAUAAUCAGCAAGAAAUUUUAGGCAUUCAAAGACUAACUUAAAUUUUAGUUUUUCAUAAUGCAGUUAAAACUACUUAAGACUUUCUAGAUGGUCUGAUUUCAUCUGCUGAUUGGUGUCUGGCCAGAAAGAGAGAAUUGUUAACAUUAGUAAUCAUGCAUUUUUGCUAGAAAACUUCACUCCUACCAUGAAAAAAAGAGCUGUAACUUAAAUCAGUGAUCUUUUUAAAAAAAAAAACAAACCAAACCCCCAAAAACCAAAAAAAUCCAAACCCUUCAGCUAACUCAAAACAAUUUACCUUUGAAAAUUCAGACAGUGUGUUUUUACUAUUUCAUCUCAUUUACACUUGUUUUACACAUAUCCAGACUUGCAGGUCUGAUAACGUCCCUGUUAUAUUUUAAUGACUGAAGUACCAAACAAAUGCUAGAAUUUUUUAAAAGCUAGUAUUUUAAUUCUCGUUCUGACUACUAUAACAAUGCUGCUUUCAAAUACAAAAAUGGUCCUUUUUGCAGAAUGAAAAAUGACUGAGGCAGAAAAUAUAUGAACUUUUGAAAACUGUAUUUCAGAAAAGCUUAAUGUCUACCCCUUGUCACUACGGCAUUUAUUUUAUCUUUUGUUAAGAAAGCAAGAGCCGACAGUUUUCGCUUUGUUUUAGUGUGCAUUUGUGAGGAAAGGAAUAAGGUUUAAAAGCAGGAAAUACAGUAUUUAUUUGUAAUUUAAUACAUAAGACACAGCAUCAAGUUCAAACUAUUGUGCUGGAAAACGUUAAAACACCUUGCUCUGCUUUCUCAAACUUCAAGCAUAAUUAACAGGGCAAAAUUGCAGCAAACCUCUACUGAUACUGGUGGGAAUACAAGACCCACAGCUUUUUUAAAAGGUAAAUUAAGAGGUAUUAUAGUUACAGUGCAAAAAAUUAAAAUUUCAAGCAUAAUAUAUAAACAUAGCACCAAAACAGAAAAAAAACAAUGCAUGCGAAAAAACCAAACCAAACCAAAAAAACCCAAAAAAACCCCAAACCAACCAACCAAAAAAAAAAAAAAGGAAAAAACCAACCAAAAAAAAAAAAAAAAAAA